UUUUGAUAGGUUUGAUAUGAAAAGAAAUAUGGCAUCACAAAAAACACCAAAAAUGGCUUUUUCAAAGUGUUGAAAAACCUUUCUUCCGCGAAAAGACAAAAAACACAACUUUGAGCCUCAAUAAAAAAAAAAGUUUUCAUCCGAUUUUGAAUCUGUAAAAAGUUUUGUGAGAAGAAUGAUGAGAUCUACUUGAAAAGUUAAUAAAAUCAAAUGUAUAAUCAUAAUCUCAAAAUCACUUUUUCCACCUAAUAUAAGCCCCGACUUGUUUUCAGAUCCCACAAUCAUAUAGUGUACUUUUAUAGUAUGUAAAUAUUUAUUGAAUAGUGUCAGAAAAAACAAAACAAAACGGUGGUGAUAUUUUUAUACGCCCACAUUUUCAUGUGGAUGUACAUGUAUAUUAGAGAGGUUUCGCAACUUUACAUUUACAGUUACAUUUAGACGGUAAAACGUGAUCGGUUUUUGUGACGUAUGACGUAAAGCGCACGUCAUAAAAGUGUAGCAGACGGAUAGCAGCCUCCAUAAAUGUAAGUUCACAACACUUAGCUAAACCUUGUUUAAUUUCUAUGAUCAAGUCCAUAAUUGUUCUCUGAAUCGUGGUUUUCACGAACUACAUCCACAGAGAAGACCUUCUCCUAUACAAAAAGGGAGAGGCCGAAACAAAACAUGCAUGCUUUAGUAAUUCAACCAUCUAUCCGUGAUGUGCUCUAGAACUGCCCAUGACUAUGGUGCUAUGUAGGCCUAUCGAUAUCAUGGACCUGGCCUAGUCUGUGGCUACCUUGGGAAGACUUGGUUAUCCUUCACACUCUCUUUUGCAGUGGAAGGAAACCGAAGAACUUGGAGAAAUCUUACCAUGUUGGUAGGGGACCCUAAAUUUAGUAUAUUCUUGCCUCGUAUAACUACAAACAAGCUUAGAAAACCACCACGCCACUUGACCCGAUGACAGACAUUAUUUAUACCCAGUCUUACUUUACUUACGGUGUCAUUAACCACUAGUCAUUAUGAUCUAGGCUAAAGCGCACGCGUUAGACACCCCCCCCCCCCCCCAUGUUCUAUUUCUUUGGCGUUACUAAUAGGCCAAGUGGUAGUUCAAGUGCCGUAGGCUAGCCUAAUGAAAUACCUACUGCGCAUGAAAUCCAUUUUAUAUUUUUCAGCAAAAGUAGAUCAUUUGCCCUCAACAACAGGACAAGAAUGCCGUCGCCUUCAUUCGAUGAGCCCCAGAAUGUUAGAUUCUGGCCGGCGUUGGAUAUACUGUUACUUAAAGAAGUGAUCUCGAGGAGACCGAACGACUCAAAGUCAUGGGAUUCGGUGGCAAAGAGCGUCAAUGAGGUUCUGCAGAUCAUACGGCCAAAUUCUCAAGUUUCAGUUAGAGCUUGCAGAAGUCGGAAGCAAGAUUUAUUGCAGAAAUUUAAUAAGGAUGAGUUAUCGUCAUACAGAGCAUCCGGUACGGAUGAAGAAUAUGGGGAGAUUUAACAGAAAUAUGUAGUUUGGAAACUGAAGAGAAGGGAAAGGCUUCGGCAUUAGAUAGGAAGAAACAGGAACAGGGGGAAGACGUGAGACGACUGGCAAUGCAGACUCUUUCUGGGACCAAACGCACAUCUAUGGAAACUGAGGAAGAUGACACUGUAACACCCACCAAAAAGAGAAAAUCACACUCGUCAACACCAGCUGCAGACUACAUCACGUUUCUUAGGGAGAAACACGCGGAGGAAUCCAAGUUAAAAUGGGAACAACUAGAGCUAGAAAAGAAGAAAUUUGAAUUGGAGAAAGUAGAGAGGGAGGCAAGACUACAAAGGGACCAGCAGAUGAUGGAAUUAUUAAUAAGACUUACUCAGA
Patella vulgata (common limpet) is the source of this 1833-nucleotide long non-coding RNA. RefSeq lists it as uncharacterized. The transcript has 3 exons. NCBI's taxonomy places the organism in Eukaryota, Metazoa, Mollusca, Gastropoda, Patellidae. The record is from RefSeq and is a predicted model, not a curated record.